GAAGGAGAUCUUCGACAUCUGCCUACCCUGCAACAUCUCUCUCAAAGCCAGGAGAUACGAACCUCAUGGCAGACUGGUUCUCCCAGCACCCAAAUAUUCAACAGCCUCUCAGAAUGGAGGGGCCCCUUUCUCCUGGACCUUUUUGCAUCACGCAACAACAGGCAGAUGCAGGACAUCUUCAGCUGGCUCCCAGACCUAGAGAGCAGAGCGGUGGAUGCCUUCCUACAACGUGGCCGACCACAGGAGCUUAUGUGUUUCCCCUCUUCGCUAUGAUAGUGAGAACGAUCCAAUACUUGAGGAACCAACAGAUAUCUCUACUUCUUAUGACUCCCCUAUGGCGGGGUCAAAUGUGGUUCCUGGACCUCCUGGCAUUGUCCUACACGGAUCCUCUCCUACUGUCGCCCUAUCUGACACUCCUCACGGAUCCAAAAGGGAA
Pelobates cultripes (western spadefoot toad) is the source of this 436-nucleotide non-coding RNA. NCBI's taxonomy places the organism in Eukaryota, Metazoa, Chordata, Amphibia, Anura, Pelobatidae. The record is from the annotation of a GenBank genome assembly.